UAGGGAAUCUUCGGCAAUGGACGAAAGUCUGACCGAGCAACGCCGCGUGAGUGAAGAAGGUCUUCGGAUCGUAAAACUCUGUUGUUAGAGAAGAACAAGGACGUUAGUAACUGAACGUCCCCUGACGGUAUCUAACCAGAAAGCCACGGCUAACUACGUGCCAGCAGCCGCGGUAAUACGUAGGUGGCAAGCGUUGUCCGGAUUUAUUGGGCGUAAAGCGAGCGAAGGCGGUUUCUUAAGUCUGAUGUGAAAGCCCCCGGCUCAACCGGGGAGGGUCAUUGGAAACUGGGAGCCUUGAGUGCAGAAGAGGAGAGGGGAAUUCCAUGUGUGGCGGUGAAGUGCGUGGAUAUAUGGAGGAACCCCAGUGGCGAAGGCGGCUCUCUGGUCUGUAACUGACGCUGGGGCUCGAAAGCGUGGGGAGCAAACGGG
Molecule: ribosomal RNA, 429 nt
Filed under: Chloroflexota bacterium
Lineage: Bacteria; Bacillati; Chloroflexota
Description: Chloroflexi bacterium partial 16S ribosomal RNA
Rfam family: Bacterial small subunit ribosomal RNA
Source: RNAcentral